Passer domesticus (house sparrow) is the source of this 1668-nucleotide long non-coding RNA. RefSeq lists it as uncharacterized. NCBI's taxonomy places the organism in Eukaryota, Metazoa, Chordata, Aves, Passeriformes, Passeridae. The transcript is spliced from 3 exons. The record is from RefSeq and is a predicted model, not a curated record.
CGCGGCCGGGCCGGGCGCCCCGAGCCGCCCCGGCGGGCGCUGCCCAGGCGCGCCCCGCCCGCCGCGCCCCGACGGCGAACGGAGCGGAGCGGAGCCGAGCGGGAUUACCGAGGCAGCAGCAGCAGCAGAGGUACCAGUGCCCCCCAAGAACACUUUGCCCUCACUAUUUGCAGUGCCAGAAUGAAAACACACCACGGUCUGUCUGGCCCAGCAAACCCUGCCGAGGUGCAGUCCAGCAGAGAUGCAUUGAAACCUGCAGAAAAUCCUUCAUUACCUGGAGACCUGCAUGUGAGCAGCUUGGUGUGUGCUCCGAGUGAAAGAGAGAUGUUUGAUUUCAUCAGGUCAAAGUCAGCCUAAAUACAAUCAUCUGAUUACAGCUUAGUAACUUAGAAAGAAGCCUCACUCGUCACAGGUGCUAAAAUUCAGAAAAUGCUAACCCACAAAUUCCGUGCAUUCCUGCGUUCAGGUGGCUUUGUUAGAUGAUAUCAAAAUUAUAAUUUAAUUCCAUUAUUUUCACAACAGAAUGUGUUACAGUGUAAUGCAUGUUGCACAUUGCCCUGGGGCGCAGCUGGUUUGAGUUAGAGGAGUAUCUCUGAAAUCUCAUCUGCCAGCAAUUCCCACCCAAGCCCCCAGCGCAUACCAAUGCUGCUUUAGCUCUUGUAAACACAGGGUGAUGACUAUGCAGUGUUUAUCUCCGUGGGAUCGAUAAGGAUUGUUUCACGGGUGCUGCUGGCAUGAGUAAAUGUUAAGAGCCCUGUGCUCCCGCAGAGCAUUCCUGAGUUUUACAGAUGUGGUCUGGGCUGCAUCCCAGCUCUGGAGCAGCACCGUGCUGAGUGAAGUCUCUCACAGUGGGACAGUCGAGCCAGGAAUGACACAACUGGUUUUGGCUGAGGAAAACCCAUCCUUAGUCUGCUCUGUGUCCUGCAGGAGUAUGCAUAAAAGGGUGGGAGUUUGAAACUGAGGUGUAGCUCACUUCAGUCUUUUUAAAACAUCUGUACCACUUGCUUAACCACAGAUUCCUUCUUUAUAUAUAUAUAUAUAUAUAUAUAUAUAUAUAUAAAUACUUACAGCCUAAAAUUCAAGCUAGUUCAUCUGUUCUUGAUGGCUAAAAGAAAUUGCUGAGUGAACCCUGACUUCUGUGAAGUGCUGCAUGGUGGGAGAACAGCUGGAGAAGUUGGUUUUCAACAUUUCUGGCCCUUUAGACUCACAGCUUAAACCUGAGAGCUGGAGUUAUUCUCCAGUUGUCGGUUACAUUAAUGAAAAAUGCGUGAAACCCCCUAUAAGCAUAAGAAAACGUGCCUUGCAGGAGCGGCAAUGCCCGAUAGAAGAUUUUUAAGUUGUUUUCUGCGUUGAGCAUCCGAGCACUGCCAUCCAGCGGGCUCCGGGGAAUCGGCUGUGCCGCCCACCGCCCGGCGGGAGCUGCUGCCCGCCGCAUCUCCAGGGAGAGCAGCGGCACCCUCCCACCGCCAGGGCUCUGGUGGGGAUCCGCUCUGCCUCAGGGGGAGACGGGGCUGGAGCAGUGACGAUGCCUGCGCUGCCGCUGGUUGGCAGCGGGCGGCUGCGGGAGCCCGCAGGGCUUGAUCGGCAUCGCCCCGUCCGAGUCUGGGCAGCCCGUGCAGGUCAUGGCACAGCCACGGAUUUUAGGGGGUGGCAGAAGACACGGGGUGU